AGGGCACCACCAGGAGUGGAGCCUGCGGCUUAAUUUGACUCAACACGGGAAAACUCACCCGGCCCGGACACCGUAAGGAUUGACAGAUUGAGAGCUCUUUCUUGAUUCGGUGGGUGGUGGUGCAUGGCCGUUCUUAGUUGGUGGAGCGAUUUGUCUGGUUUAUUCCGAUAACGAACGAGACUCUAGCCUACUAAAUAGGGACUGGAUUGCUUGUCCCCUGUACUUUUUUAAAGGGAAAAGCGGGUGUUCCCCCCCAAAAAUUAGACAAAAAACGGGUUUGAAUCCCCUUAAAAUUUCGGGGCGCCCCCCCCCCCCACCUGAGGGAAUCAAAUGGUUUUUAACCUUGGCCAGAAAGGUUGGGAAACCCAUUAAAAUUCCCUCUGGUCUGGGUCGGGGAAUUGAAUUUUUUUCCCUUAAAGAGGAAAUUCCCAUAAAGGUGGGGCACCCCCCCCCCCUCAAUACCUCCCCGCCCCUUUUAAACCCCCCCCCUCCCUCCCCUGCACUUAGCCGUUUGGAAAA
Molecule: ribosomal RNA, 519 nt
Filed under: uncultured eukaryote
Lineage: Eukaryota
Description: partial 18S ribosomal RNA
Rfam family: Eukaryotic small subunit ribosomal RNA
Source: RNAcentral